Limulus polyphemus (Atlantic horseshoe crab) is the source of this 2183-nucleotide long non-coding RNA. RefSeq lists it as uncharacterized. NCBI's taxonomy places the organism in Eukaryota, Metazoa, Arthropoda, Merostomata, Xiphosura, Limulidae. The record is from RefSeq and is a predicted model, not a curated record. The transcript has 2 exons.
GAUAUGUACAAAACCUGUGUUUGUGUAGGAACGUCUGUUUAGAUACGUACAAAACCUAUGUUUGUGUAGGAAUGUCUGUUUAGAUACGUACAAAACCUAUGUUUGUGUAGCUAUGCAUACAACACUUAUUUAGUUAGGUGUGUGUAUUUACAAAACCUUUAAUUUCAUUCAUGAUCUAAUCAGGUUAGAAGAAAAGUUGGAUAGCUAGGCCAGUAGUUUUGUGAGAUUGUUAUUCUCAUGCUGAGACGACUAACUCAAACAGUUUGUUGGUCAUAUCAGUUUCAUUCACUUCUUAUCCUCCCACUGUUGUUUUUAUAGUACCAUAAGUAUUCCAUUUGGUUGAAACCACAACAUUUUGGUGAUAAUUUUGAAAUGUUUCUGCAUUCUUGGAAAAACUUAAAACAUACACGUAUACAUUGUUUAUUUUAUUUUGUAAAGGUAAAAAAUUGUUUUUGUUCUGUUGUUUAGUUCUGAUACUUAAAGUAAAGUAGUAAAGGAGAUUUAGCAAGCUUGAGAUACAAAAGAUCUAAGUCAGUUAUAUUAGAGUUUCUAAAAUAUUUAACUUUAUUUACAGAACAUUUUGCAUACAGCAUUUUGCUUGUUUAACCACAGCAUCCAAGGAUGUUGGAACCAGGUUUGAUGUGUGAGAGUGCUGUGCAUGCAUGGUUCCAUUGUAUACAGAGAUUUUGAAUUUGUUCAGUUUGUUUUCAGCACCUCAGUGCUACAAAACGUUGUUACAGCAUCAGUGGUAGCAUCCUGAGGCAAUAGGCAACAAGACUUAAGUUAUUGGUGAAAUUUCUUCUCCUUGAAAAAGUAGUUGUUAAAAUAUAAUUGUUUUAGCUGUUGGAGUUUUCUUUAUAAUUAUCUUUCUACAUGCAGAUACUGUGUUCUAAUUCUUGGUACAUGAAAUAACAUUGAAGUAAUUUGUAGAGUUUGAACCUGGAUGUCCAUGUGAUGAAAUUCAACACAGUGUAUUCCUUUUAUGUAUUAAGAGUACAAUAAGAAUAUAGUUGUGUGUAUGUGAUAUUAUUGAUUAUGAAAAAUGGAAUUUAAAAGUGAUGGUACAUAAUUAAACAUGCUGUUGUUCAAAUCUUGAAAGGACAAGCAAAGUUUAUAGGAUAUACAGUAAGUUGGUUUCAUAUAUCUUGAAGUCUUUAGUUCUAUGUUGUUUAGAGACAGGGGGAUACUUUAUAAUUUUUUUUUCAGUUUCAGUAAGAUACCAGUGUAUUUGGUGUUGCUCCACUUUCUCGAGGAAUACCCACUUGCUAAGACAUCAGCAGUACCACUGUAAGAAGCGCCCUCAAUCAUUCAGGAUGAAGUUUGUGUGUGAAAUCUGUCAUAAAGGAUACAGCAGAUUGGAAGUGCUGAAGAACCACAAGAUGUUUUGUCAACACGGCAAUGAUGUUACAGGCUUUGGAGAAUUAGCAGAGGAUGACCCAUUUCACCUAAGUCAGACCUGAUUAAGUUUGUGUAACCUUGGAAGUUCACCAAAAUCAGGUCCACAAACUGCAGUUAUACUCUAACCACAAGACUUACAGCAGUGUCUAUGGAGAUGAUACUAUCAACCCAGUAAAGUCUGUUACUUGAAGUGAAAUGUAUGGUAACAUAUUCUAAAUGAGAUUUCUGGAUGAUAAUUGUUUUAUUAGCCAUUCUACGUAUUGCUUCUGUUUCUAACUUUACACAAAGCAGAAUAACUAGAGGGACUACUGCUUUGGGGUUAUUUUAAAGUAAUAUGCUGGCUCAAAUCCUAGUUGCUAUUUUUUGUACUUUAAAAAGGUAUAUAUAUAUAUAUUAAGACUAACAAGUUGUCACUGAAAAAAGACUUGGAACUGGAUGUUAAAGUUUCUGAUUGUAUGAGUAUUUUGUUUGUCUUAGUUUAUUCACUAUACAAAAUUUGCAUUAUCAGUUAUAAUUGGAGUUUUCAUAUGCUUAUGUGUUUGGUAACUGAAAGAUAACCUUUUAUUUACUUGUAUUUUGGUGGAUUAUGAAAGGUUAUAUAUACGGAGAUCUUGAAGUAACAUGUAUUACUUAAGUUUCUUUUAUUGCUUUGGACAUGUGUAUUUGUUAUGAAAAUAAAGUUGGUUUGGUGAUUUUUUUUAUCUCAUUGUUUUAGUAAUAUAAGGUUUUGUAAAACUUCAUUUUGUAAUCCUAAACUUAUGAUUGAUUAAAGAUGUUUGUAUUCA